RNAcentral lists this ribosomal RNA (497 nucleotides) under uncultured bacterium. RNAcentral's name for it is "partial 16S ribosomal RNA". It matches the Rfam family "Bacterial small subunit ribosomal RNA", at positions 28 to 507 of the family's 1533-position model. The record is from RNAcentral.
GAUGAACGCUGGCGGCGUGCCUAAUACAUGCAAGUCGAGCGAACAGACGAGGAGCUUGCUCCUCUGACGUUAGCGGCGGACGGGUGAGUAACACGUGGAUAACCUACCUAUAAGACUGGGAUAACUUCGGGAAACCGGAGCUAAUACCGGAUAAUAUAUUGAACCGCAUGGUUCAAUAGUGAAAGACGGUUUUGCUGUCUCUUAUAGAUGGAUCCGCGCCGCAUUAGCUAGUUGGUAAGGUAACGGCUUACCAAGGCAACGAUGCGUAGCCGACCUGAGAGGGUGAUCGGCCACACUGGAACUGAGACACGGUCCAGGCUCCUACGGGAGGCAGCAGUAGGGAAUCUUCCGCAAUGGGCGAAAGCCUUACGGAGCAACGCCGCGUGAGUGAUGAAGGUCUUCGGAUCGUAAAACUCUGUUAUUAGGGAAGAACAAAUGUGUAAGUAACUAUGCACGUCUUGACGGUACCUAAUCAGAAAGCCACGGCUAACUACGUG